RNAcentral lists this ribosomal RNA (765 nucleotides) under uncultured Streptococcus sp. RNAcentral's name for it is "bacterial SSU rRNA". It matches the Rfam family "Bacterial small subunit ribosomal RNA", at positions 28 to 776 of the family's 1533-position model. Lineage: Bacteria; Bacillati; Bacillota; Bacilli; Lactobacillales; Streptococcaceae. The record is from RNAcentral.
GACGAACGCUGGCGGCGUGCCUAAUACAUGCAAGUAGAACGCUGAAGAGAGGAGCUUGCUCUUCUUGGAUGAGUUGCGAACGGGUGAGUAACGCGUAGGUAACCUGCCUGGUAGCGGGGGAUAACUAUUGGAAACGAUAGCUAAUACCGCAUAAAAUUGAUUAUUGCAUGAUAGUCAAUUGAAAGGUGCAACUGCACCACUACCAGAUGGACCUGCGUUGUAUUAGCUAGUUGGUGGGGUAACGGCUCACCAAGGCGACGAUACAUAGCCGACCUGAGAGGGUGAUCGGCCACACUGGGACUGAGACACGGCCCAGACUCCUACGGGAGGCAGCAGUAGGGAAUCUUCGGCAAUGGACGGAAGUCUGACCGAGCAACGCCGCGUGAGUGAAGAAGGUUUUCGGAUCGUAAAGCUCUGUUGUAAGAGAAGAACGAGUGUGAGAGUGGAAAGUUCACACUGUGACGGUAUCUUACCAGAAAGGGACGGCUAACUACGUGCCAGCAGCCGCGGUAAUACGUAGGUCCCGAGCGUUGUCCGGAUUUAUUGGGCGUAAAGCGAGCGCAGGCGGUUAGAUAAGUCUGAAGUUAAAGGCUGUGGCUUAACCAUAGUACGCUUUGGAAACUGUUUAACUUGAGUGCAAGAGGGGAGAGUGGAAUUCCAUGUGUAGCGGUGAAAUGCGUAGAUAUAUGGAGGAACACCGGUGGCGAAAGCGGCUCUCUGGCUUGUAACUGACGCUGAGGCUCGAAAGCGUGGGGAGCAAACAGG